Molecule: ribosomal RNA, 545 nt
Filed under: uncultured bacterium
Lineage: Bacteria
Description: bacterial SSU rRNA
Rfam family: Bacterial small subunit ribosomal RNA
Source: RNAcentral
UGUUGCAUGGACGCACUCUGACCAGCCAUGCCGCGUGCAGGAUGACGGCCCUAUGGGUUGUAAACUGCUUUUAUACAGGAAAAACACCACCCACGUGUGGGUGACUGACGGUACUGUAAUAAUAAGGACCGGCUAACUCCGUGCCAACGACCGCGGUAAUACCGAGGGUCCAAGCGUUAUCCGGAAUCAUUGGGUUUAAAGGGUCCGUACGCGGGCUAGUAAAUCCUAAGUGAAAGUUUGCACCUCAACUGUAAAAUUGCCUUUGAUACUGUUAGUCUUGAGUUAUUCUGAAGUGGUUAGAAUAUGUGGUGUAACGGUGAAAUGCAUAGAUAUCACUUACAAUACCGAUUGCCAAUGCAGAUCACUAACUGUAUACUGACGCUGAGGGACGAAAGCUUGGGUAGCGAACGGGAUUAGAUACCCCGGUAGUCCAUGCUGUAAACGAUGGAUACUACCUGUUGGCUUCUGUCAGUGGCUAAUCGAAAGUGAUAAGUAUCCCACCUGGGGAGUACGUUCGCAAGAAUGAAACUCAAAGGAAUUGACGG